AAAAAAAUAUGUAGAGAGGUGACAAAAUAAUUUAUUUUAUUUUAUUUCCAAAAUCUCAAUCCUGUACUCUUCAGUUAAUAAAAUGGCAAUAUACUGUAUGAGUUUUGGAAUUCCCUGCAUGCCUUUAAAGGUUAGGGCACAAUAAGUGGGUCUCGACACUAAUUUGUCAUAUUUAUAUUUUUUCUCUACAGUGAUCAAGCCAAAAAAGAAGGAUAAUUGAGGAGCUUUUGUCCAUACAAUUUGAUUACAUGCCAUGCACACCUACCUCAGACAACACCCACAACACCAAUGUGGCACAAAUGUCAGAGAAUUCAGAACUGGAGAAACUGGAACGAGUCAUAUUUGUUCGACUGGACAAUGUAGACCAGAAACUGUCAGAUAUCAAAUCCAUGCUUUUUGGUCUUGUCCCACCAAAUGACUCUACCGAUGAGUUCUUUUUAAAUCCUUGCCAGAGCACAAAUGAAUUGGAUGAUGGCGAAUAUACAAAUAAAACUAUCCAUCACCUAAGUCUUCUUGGUAGCAAAACUCUGUAAGGAGGGUGUUGUGCACAGUUGCCACAAACAAUGUGUGGGCAGUACAGUAUGAAGGGUCGAAAGGGAAAGAAAAGACCUGGAAAUCUGCACGGUGAUCAUUCCUGCACUUAGAUCCCCAUUCUUUGCCUGCCUCGUCACAGAAGAACUGACCUAAGAUGGAUCUAGCAGCUGUCAGAAUUCUCCUCCUGAGCAAGGGGACUGUCCAGUUGAGGAUCACGUCCGUGAGUUUUUAGAGCUGGUGAAUUUAGUGCACUACCCAGACUACUCUUUGGUGGUUUUCUUCAGGGCGGGUCUCAGUAGUGCACUAAAGGAGCUAUUGCCUCCAGCAGAUCCUCACUGGACGCUCACCAAGUUCGUGGAGGAGGCUCUGCGAGUUAGCGGCUCGCCUUUCACUGUGGGUGUAGAGGAAGUGGGCUUUAAAUCUCCUCCCACAGUGGUCGCCACCCAGCCUUCCAUACCUCAUCCUUCCACGGCCAACGAGCCAACGCCCACCACGGCCAACAUGCUGGAAGUCUCGUCUGUCCCAGAGCCAGCGUUGCCAGCCUUGUCUGUCCCAGAGCCGGCGUUUCCAGCUCUCUUUGCCCCUUGUGCCCCCUUGGACUGCCUAUUUGCGCCAUGGAUUUUUUUUUGGAGCGUCUGGAAUCCGCUCCUUAAAGCGGGGGCUCUGUCACAUGUUCCCUGUUGUCUUUUGUUUUUGUGCUUCUAUUUUGAAGUUUAGUUUAGUUCCUGUUAGUUUUUCUAGUCCUUUGUAGUUUUAUUCCUUGAAUGGUUCUCCCUGAUUAUUAGUCAUUCCCUGAUUAUUUCACCAGGUGUUCCUCGUUCCUUUGUUUGUUCCCUUGUGUAUUUAAGUCCUUGGUUUCCCUGUGUCAGUUCUUGCAUGUUUUGUUAUGCGCUGUACUAGGUUCCCUGUGUUUUUCUUUAUUCUGAGUUACCUUGUUUAUCUUUGUUUUAUUAAAGCUGCACUUAGAUCCCCAUUCUUUGCCUGCCUCAUCACAAUCCCAACAGAAUUCAGAUUCAUUGCACCUGUAAAAUGAUGGGAUACAUUCUUUAGGACAUCUUUUGUUUUAAGCUAUUUAGGGCUUUUCACACGGUUUAUCCAUAGUUUAAAGGAGAUGUUAAACCAGUGUUAAGGAAAAUUGUGGCCAUUAUAAUCAAUUAGAUUGUAUAUGCUGGUUGUGUCGCCACGUUGCAUUGCACAAACAAUAGAACAGUGUUCCAAAAUGUCAAUGAAAUGCCUCUUUUGAAAAUAAAACAGCAUGCAAAUUAUUCAGAAAUUGUAAUUGUUUAAGUCUACUCAAGUUCGAAGCUGAUUGUCUGUGCUCUAUGUACAUUUUACAAUUAUUAAUUUAUUAUAACCUUUAUUCAAGAUAU
Molecule: long non-coding RNA, 1904 nt
Organism: Xyrauchen texanus (razorback sucker)
Lineage: Eukaryota; Metazoa; Chordata; Actinopteri; Cypriniformes; Catostomidae
Exons: 5
Source: RefSeq, a predicted model, not a curated record